This 303-nucleotide unclassified non-coding RNA is filed under the name Hevea brasiliensis (rubber tree). The record is from RNAcentral. Lineage: Eukaryota; Viridiplantae; Streptophyta; Magnoliopsida; Malpighiales; Euphorbiaceae.
GGGUCAUCGUGACGUUGAAGCCCCUGUCGAACUACAUUGACUGCUUGUUGGCUCGACAUCACGUCCCAAAUCCCAUCACAGGCUAUGAUCAAGAACUCAUCCUCUUCUGUAAGCACCACCUGCCUGCAUUCUGGUUCUGCAAUGAGAGGCGAAGGAGAACCAUCAGGGAGCUUCAUGUCCCAAUCCCCCAAAGCCCUGGAAACCGAUAAAACCCCGUUGAGAUAGCCACCAUCAACAAAGCCACCCAACUCUUCUACCCGUUGCUUCUCUGGAGAAUAAACUGGCCGGUGGUCUUGAGACAUA